ACACUCCUGCGGGAGGCAGCAGUGAGGAAUAUUGGACAAUGGGUGGAAGCCUGAUCCAGCCAUCCCGCGUGCAGGAAGACGGCCCUAUGGGUUGUAAACUGCUUUUAUCUGGGGAUAAACCUACUUACGUGUAAGUAGCUGAAGGUACCAGAAGAAUAAGCACCGGCUAACUCCGUGCCAGCAGCCGCGGUAAUACGGAGGGUGCAAGCGUUAUCCGGAUUUAUUGGGUUUAAAGGGUCCGUAGGCGGACUGAUAAGUCAGUGGUGAAAUCCGACAGCUUAACUGUCGAACUGCCAUUGAUACUGUUAGUCUUGAGUAAGGUUGAAGUGGCUGGAAUAAGUAGUGUAGCGGUGAAAUGCAUAGAUAUUACUUAGAACACCAAUUGCGAAGGCAGGUCACUAAGUCUUAACUGACGCUGAUGGACGAAAGCGUGGGGAGCGAACAGGAUUAGAAACCCUAGUAGUCCCAUG
RNAcentral lists this ribosomal RNA (470 nucleotides) under uncultured organism. RNAcentral's name for it is "partial 16S ribosomal RNA". It matches the Rfam family "Bacterial small subunit ribosomal RNA", at positions 333 to 799 of the family's 1533-position model. The record is from RNAcentral.